Molecule: transfer-messenger RNA, 148 nt
Filed under: Actinomycetota bacterium
Lineage: Bacteria; Bacillati; Actinomycetota
Description: Actinobacteria bacterium partial transfer-messenger RNA
Rfam family: transfer-messenger RNA
About the family: Bacterial tmRNA, also known as 10Sa RNA or SsrA, is named for its dual tRNA and mRNA-like properties. Its role is to liberate the mRNA from a stalled ribosome. To accomplish this part of the tmRNA is used as a reading frame that ends in a translation stop signal.
Source: RNAcentral
GGGGGUGAACGGUCUCGACUACGGAUGUUGAGGCAGGGGAAGCGGGCCGAGGAAGCCGGGAUGAUCUCGUAAACCAAUAACCCGUGCAAAAAAAUAAGUGCCAAUAAAACGGCCACUGAUUUCGCCCUCGCUGCAUAAGCGAGCCUUC